CACCUCUAGCAUACCAAGUAUUAGAGGCACUGCCUGCCCAGUGACUAACGUUCAACGGCCGCGGUAUCCUAACCGUGCAAAGGUAGCAUAAUCACUUGUUCCUUAAUUAGGGACUAGAAUGAAUGGCUAAACGAGGGCUCAACUGUCUCUUAUUCCCAAUCAGUGAAAUUGACCUUUCCGUGAAGAGGCGGAAAUCACACUAUAAGACGAGAAGACCCUAUGGAGCUUAAAUUUCCUAACCUAAGUAUAUGCUCAAUUAACCUACUGGACUAACACCCAAACUACUAGGUUAGUAAUUUUGGUUGGGGUGACCUCGGAGAACAAAAAAACCUCCGAAAGACAUUAAUCUAGACACACAAGUCAAAAUAAAACUUUAUCCAAUUGACCCAAUAUUUUUUGAUCAACGGACCAAGUUACCCUAGGGAUAACAGCGCAAUCCUAUUCAAGAGUUCAUAUCGACAAUCAGGGUUUACGACCUCGAUGUUGGAUCAGGACAUCCCAAUGGUGCAGAAGCUAUUAAAGGUUCGUUUGUUCAACGAUUAAAGUCCU
RNAcentral lists this ribosomal RNA (549 nucleotides) under Akodon sp. IAvH-CT-06096. RNAcentral describes it as "partial 16S ribosomal RNA". It matches the Rfam family "Bacterial large subunit ribosomal RNA", at positions 1816 to 2597 of the family's 2925-position model. Lineage: Eukaryota; Metazoa; Chordata; Mammalia; Rodentia; Cricetidae. The record is from RNAcentral. RNAcentral also lists the same sequence under 1 other name.